UCGAGAAUCUUCGGCAAUGGGCGCAAGCCUGACCGAGCGACGCCGCGUGGAGGAUGGAGGCCUUCGGGUUGUAAACUCCUGUCGAGGGGGAACAAGGUGCCGUGCAGAGCGGCGCUUGAGUGAUCCCUGGAGGAAGCACGGGCUAAGUUCGUGCCAGCAGCCGCGGUAAGACGAACCGUGCAAACGUUAUUCGGAAUCACUGGGCUUAAAGCGCGUGUAGGCGGGCCGGCACGUCGACUGCUGAAAGCCCCCGGCUCAACCGGGGAACGGGCAUCGAUACGACCGGCCUGGAGGGGGGUAGGGGGAGCCGGAACUCACGGUGGAGCGGUGAAAUGCGUUGAGAUCGUGAGGAACGCCCGUGGCGAAAGCGGGCUCCUGGACCCCACCUGACGCUGAGACGCGAAAGCCAGGGGAGCGAACG
This 421-nucleotide ribosomal RNA is filed under the name uncultured Planctomycetaceae bacterium. Its description in RNAcentral is "partial 16S ribosomal RNA". It matches the Rfam family "Bacterial small subunit ribosomal RNA", at positions 355 to 774 of the family's 1533-position model. The record is from RNAcentral. Lineage: Bacteria; Pseudomonadati; Planctomycetota; Planctomycetia; Planctomycetales; Planctomycetaceae.